CAGCCCCAUGGUGGAAGCACAAUGUUCAGUUCAGCUAAGCUUUCCUGUGGUGCUGAAGAACGGGACAAUGGUAGAAGAGAUUCACCGUGUUGGCUUCCUAAGCAAACUUCUUGAAACAAAAAUCAUGCAAGUGCUACGUUUCAAGCAUGGGCAGGGCUUCAAGAGGAAGGGCCUUCAGAUGAGGAUGUUUCAACUGUACUUGAACUUGAGCAAAUGGCCCCCGAAAAUGGAUUGCAGGUUAAGUUUAUUAACUAAAGUUACCAACUUUUAAUUUCCUUUUGGAAACCCAGGUGAUAUAGAAUAGAAAUUUUGGAAAUGUUUCUUCUACCAUCUCAAAUUCUCAAUCCUAAGUAGUUGCAGAACUCCUAAUUUUCUUCUUUUUGUUUGUUUUAGGUGAUCUCACAGCAGAAGGCUCUUGAAUAUGUGAAGAUUAAGCAGAUUAUACUACUCUAAUCUUAGUGCUGAUUUCUGAUUGAUCUUUCAGGAGAACUUCUAUUGGCUGGAAAGGAUUUUACGGAGCUACCAGUCAAGAAUCUAUAAUGGUGAUAUGGCCAAUGCCUUUGAGAUUCAAGAUUAAGGACGUUCUAAUGUACAAUCUCUUGCCACAUCAACAGUGCAGUUGACACUGCAAAGGAUACUGCCUUAUCCUUGCAAAAAACAGUAUACUGCAGUCGUUUUAAUGCCUCAGACAUCGCGCUUUCAAUUGCUGAGGUCAUUCUUCAAAUCUACUCGUACCAGUUAUGCCAGAGAUGCCAAGGUUUGAUUAUAGGCAUUUAGCUCCAAGAAAAAUAAUAUCACCAUUGGUUUAGGCGAAGCAUCUAGGUUUAUACAUGAACCUCUUGUGUGUUAAUCAUUUAUGGUCUGUUCAGUCUGUAUAAUUCGUCAAUUCUUCAAUAAUAAUAAUAACAAUAACAAUAAUAAUUACCUUAAGCCGUGGCCGAUACUGCCUUCUUACCUCCCCUGGACUCAGAAUUCUAAUGUCCCAUUCCGCUCCUGCGAGGCCUACUUCGGCAACGGCUUCUCUCGCCGCAUCGACAUCCUCCCUGCGAAUACCGGAGGAUCUUCCGGAUGGUUCCGUUGCUUCUUUAGCGAGACGCUUCAGAGCUCCAUAUGCGAGGGAGGAAGAGUGCGAAUGGUGCCCGAGAGGAUACAGAUGUCCAAAGGGGGGGAGAUGAUAGAGGAGGUCAUUGGGAGAACGGAGGACAAGGAGUUGCCUGAGUUCCAAAACGGUGCCUUUGAGGUUCUAGGGGUUGGAAGGAAAGGUAAAAAUCUUAUUCAAGGAGAUUUCUUGGAUAAUUAUGUCCCAGAAGGCGAGAUUAAAAGGCACACGAUGCGUGAAUUGAUCGGUUCAAUUCGUGUCGUGGAUGAUAAGGAAUUUCACUGUGAUCAGUGGAUUGAGGAGCCAACACUUCUGGUUAUACGAUUUGAAUAUGCUAAUCUUUUUCACACGGUUACAGAUUGGUACAGUGCAUAUGUGUCUUCUAGAGUCACUGAAUUGCCUUAUCGACCUCAUGUGAUUUUUGUAGAUGGCCACUGCAGAGCACCUUUGGAUGAAACAUGGAGAGCACUUUUUUCAAGUGUCAGAUAUGCUAAAAACUUUACUGGUCCAGUUUGUUUUCGUCAUGUUGUUCUAUCUCCUCUGGGAUAUGAAACUGCACUCUUUAAGGGACUAAGCGAAGAUAUAGAUUGUGAAGGAGCAUCAGCGCAUGAUCUUUGGCAAAACCCUAAUGACCGAAAAACAGCCCGAUUAUCUGAGGUGGGAGAAAUGAUUAGAGCAGCUUCUGGCUUCUCUGUCAAUAGACAUGGUAGUGAAAAGCCUGUUUCAGGUCAUAAUGUCCUCUUUGUCAGACGCCAAAAUUAUUUAGCCCAUCCACGUCAUGGUGGUAAAGUUGAAUCAAGACUGAGCAAUGAACAAGAAGUGUUUGAUUCAUUGCAGAGUUGGGCAUCUAAUCAUCUGGAGUGCAAAGUGAAUCUUGUCAACGGAUUGUUUGCGCACAUGCCUAUGAAGGAGCAAAUACGGGCCAUUCAAGAGGCUUCAGUUAUUAUUGGUGCUCAUGGUGCAGGUCUCACUCAUAUAGUUUCUGCAACACCAAAAACAAUAAUAUUAGAGAUCAUUAGCCGCCAGUUUAGGCGCCCACAUUUUCAAUUGAUUGCCCAGUGGAAAGGGUUGGAGUACCAUGCCAUCAACCUUAAUGGAUCAUAUGCCUCUCCUGCAGUUGUUAUUGAAAGGCUUGACAGAAUAAUGAAAAGCCUUGGAUGUUGAACUCUUUUACUAUUGUUGGAAAUUAUCCAUGGUCUCAUUGCUGGGAAGUGGAAAAGUGACAUGAAAUCCUUUCUGCUUGCAUUAUUAAUCUUCGGGAGUCUGCUCUGCUCGUUUUGGUUCCAUCAUUUUCUCUCCUCAGACUAAUUUUUCUCACAUGCUACUACUUUCUGUGCAACGUUUUCUUGGUGGAUGUCAGAUUCUACUUAACGUGAAUUUAAUGCCAUUCAUGGUUGGCAUAUCAAGAUAAUGUGAUGCACAGCUCUGACAUUUAAUGAAGUAAACUUUCUUUAACCAUUCUGAAUCUGUCUGAAAGAGGAGGAUGCCUUUCUUUAGGUCCGGUAUGUUAUCCUCAGACUGAUCAGUGUCGUGCUUGUGUUGGGAAUUAUUUAUGGUAUAUAGGGAAGGAAAUGAUGGGUUGAUCCUGGAUUUUUUAUUGGGGUAACUGAUGAUUGCUUUGCUUGGGAUUUUCUCACUUGUACAAUAAAUACAUCACUGGUAGGUUCAAUUUUAAAUGGAAUAUACUUCUGGGAUUUUUUUUUU
Molecule: unclassified non-coding RNA, 2803 nt
Filed under: Hevea brasiliensis (rubber tree)
Lineage: Eukaryota; Viridiplantae; Streptophyta; Magnoliopsida; Malpighiales; Euphorbiaceae
Source: RNAcentral